RNAcentral lists this ribosomal RNA (664 nucleotides) under uncultured bacterium. RNAcentral's name for it is "bacterial SSU rRNA". It matches the Rfam family "Bacterial small subunit ribosomal RNA", at positions 67 to 733 of the family's 1533-position model. The record is from RNAcentral.
CGGGCCGCGCCUGAACCUAGUGAAGGCGCGGCCAGUGCCGGACGGGUGAGUAACGCGUGGGCAACCUGCCGCGCACAGGGGGACAACGGCCGGAAACGGCCGCUAAUACCGCAUAUUCCCGGGGGGCCGCAUGGCCCUGCGGGGAAAGCCCGGGGCGACCCGGACGGUGCGCGAUGGGCCCGCGUCCGAUUAGCUAGUUGGCGGGGCAGCGGCCCACCAAGGCGACGAUCGGUAGCCGGCCUGAGAGGGCGGACGGCCACACUGGGACUGAGACACGGCCCAGACUCCUGCGGGAGGCAGCAGUGGGGAAUAUUGCACAAUGGGGGGAACCCUGAUGCAGCGACGCCGCGUGGGUGAAGGAGCACCUCGGUGCGUAAAGCCCUAUCGGCAGGGAAGAAACAGACGGUACCUGACUAAGAAGCCCCGGCUAACUACGUGCCAGCAGCCGCGGUAAUACGUAGGGGGCAAGCGUUAUCCGGAUUCACUGGGUGUAAAGGGAGCGUAGACGGCGACGCAAGUCUGGAGUGAAAGCCCGGGGCCCAACCCCGGGACUGCUCUGGAAACUGCGGCGCUGGAGUACGGGAGGGGCAGGCGGAAUUCCUGGUGUAGCGGUGAAAUGCGUAGAUAUCAGGAGGAACACCGGCGGCGAAGGCGGCCUGCUGGA